UUGUAAUCGCACCGCUGGCACGAGUUGUUGGAAUCUCAGCGCUGACACCCGUUGUUGCAAAUGGGUCGCAAGCCCCAAGGGUAGCGUUGGCCUGGCGGCCUGGGGCACAACUGGAAGCAUCCGAAGGUCCUGGCAAAGCAUGAGUCGACUGCUAACAGAACAACUUGUUUAUUCUAGCAUCGCAAAAGAGCGGCCGGUCAGGUCGACCGAAGUGGAGAGAUGGGAGAGCACGUUACUCAACAGAAGAAAUCGGAGCCGUCUCUCUUGGCGUCCGGGGGCAGCUGCUUUUAUACUCUCGCAGUUGAGGGCAAGAAGGAACGUCUC
RNAcentral lists this long non-coding RNA (324 nucleotides) under Dermacentor andersoni. RNAcentral's name for it is "uncharacterized LOC126546303". The record is from RNAcentral. Lineage: Eukaryota; Metazoa; Arthropoda; Arachnida; Ixodida; Ixodidae.